This 441-nucleotide ribosomal RNA is filed under the name uncultured bacterium. RNAcentral's name for it is "partial 16S ribosomal RNA". It matches the Rfam family "Bacterial small subunit ribosomal RNA", at positions 338 to 795 of the family's 1533-position model. The record is from RNAcentral.
CCUACGGGUGGCAGCAGUGGGGAAUAUUGCACAAUGGGGGAAACCCUGAUGCAGCGACGCCGCGUGAGUGAAGAAGUAUUUCGGUAUGUAAAGCUCUAUCAGCAGGGAAGAAAAUGACGGUACCUGACUAAGAAGCCCCGGCUAACUACGUGCCAGCAGCCGCGGCACUACGUAGGGGGCAAGCGUUAUCCGGAUUUACUGGGUGUAAAGGGAGCGUAGGUGGCAUGGUAAGCCAGAAGUGAAAACCCGGGGGUCAACCCCGCGGAUUGCUUUUGGAACUAUCAGGCUGGAGUGCUGGAGGGGUAAGCGGAAUUCCUGGUGUAGCGGUGAAAUGCGUAGAUAUUAGGAGGAACACCGGUUGCGAAGGCGGCUUACUGGACAGAAACUGACACUGAGGCUCGAAAGCGUGGGGAGCAAACAGGAUUAGAUACCCUUGUAGUC